CCAUUGAACCCCUCUCCCAGAAGAAAUUUUGGAAAUCAAGAUGAUCCAUGAAAAUUUCAUAUCAAGCUACUCAUUACACUUUUUUUUCAAAUCAAAAUGAUUACAUAGUCCCCCUUUACGUUCUUUGGUACAUUGUAUCUAGACGUGGUAAUAAUGGGCAUUAGAUACCAUCUCAGAGGCACGCGCACUAUAUGUGGCCUAUGCCUUAUGCCAUGGCCGGCUAUAAAUUAAAGUGUAGUCAUAAUCCCAACACCAUAAAAGAAGGUUCAAACAUACGACAUUAUGUAUGUGUAUGAUCUCUAGAAAUAUCUUCCUUGUAUUCACCAAAAAAGAAAUGUCUUCCUGGUAUUUGCUAACGUUAUUCCUCGAAAUAUUGAUGGUGGUCACAAAUUUCACCACUCAAUGUCUUGCUGAUGAUGCUUACCGUAAUGAGCCUCCCAUUCCCAUUCACGAAAAUAUUAGUAGCCCAUCAUCAUCCCUUCCAGUCCCAGACUCUCCCACUCUUUCCCGAACGCCACCAUUCAAUAACGAUCACGUCAGAAGACCCUCACCCGCGCACCACGGCCAAAUCCCACCACCAACUCUACUUCCACACAGGCAUGUUCCGGAGCAGCAACCACCGUUUAAUUCUCGCCGCUACUCCCGAUACGCUCCGCUGCAGAAUUGAUGCUGAAUGCUCAGGCAUGCAUAGCUUCAUAUACCGACAACGUAACUUUUAUCAGAACCCAAAAGUGGUAUCAGAGCAAUUUUCAAAAUAGUGCAAAAUAUAUCAGAGCUUCUGUUUAUGGGAAUGGCAGGAAGUUCCACUACCUCAAUGUUCAGUUAUUCACAAGGAGCAACCCCCGUAUUUGAUGGAGAAUACUAUGAAUAUUGGAGCUAUCAAAUGCAGGAUGAUUUCUUAUUUGAAGAUUUAUGGGAUAUAAUUGAAGAUGAUUAUGAAGAGCCUCCAACACAGGGUAGUUCAACUUGGACACAAGACGAACAAAAAUUAUACAAAGAGAAUCGGAUGAAAAGUGCUUCACAAAUCCAUCUACCCUAGAAUUUUUGGAAUUAAAAAGAUUAACGAUGCAUGGGAAAUAUUACAAAAGAUUAAGUUACAAAAUCUAUGGAGAGAUUUUGAUAAUUUGUGAAUGAAAGACGAUGAAAAUAUCAAAGAAUUUUCUUCCCAGGUGGUUGAACUUGUAAACCAAAUUAAAAGUUUUGGAGAUAAACUUGAGGACAGAAAAAUUGUAGAAAAAAUUCUUAGAAGUCUUCCUGCAAAGUUUGAGUAUGUGGUUCCAGCAAUUGAGGAAUCAAAGAUCUGUCUAAAUUGACCUUGCAUGAGUUGAUGAGAUCACUUGAAGUACAUGAUGAGAAACCCCAAUUUUCACCAGCUUUUCCAACUUUCAUUUCUAUCUUAUUGCGUAAGCUUUCAUUCUCAUUCAUGCCCUCCAAGUUUAUUACAGGGAUAGAGAGCUAGGAAUCUCCAUUAGAAGACGUAUCUUCGAGUCUGAUCAUGAUGAAUAUACGUGGGAUUUUUUGAAGCCCAGCAUCCACAAGACCUUUCACACCAGUUUUUGAUUCAUCAACUGCCUUCAAUUCACUUAUUCUAUCGUACUAUGUUUGAGAUUCUUUGUAAAUCUCAGCUGACUUUGUAAGAUAAACCAUCUUUCUUUC
Ziziphus jujuba (common jujube) is the source of this 1656-nucleotide long non-coding RNA. RefSeq lists it as uncharacterized. The record is from RefSeq and is a predicted model, not a curated record. The transcript is spliced from 2 exons. NCBI's taxonomy places the organism in Eukaryota, Viridiplantae, Streptophyta, Magnoliopsida, Rosales, Rhamnaceae.